AUCAACUUUCGAUGGUAGGAUAGAGGCCUACUAUGGUGGUGACGGGUGACGGAGAAUUAGGGUUCGAUUCCGGAGAGGGAGCCUGAGAAACGGCUACCACAUCCAAGGAAGGCAGCAGGCGCGCAAAUUACCCAAUCCCGACACGGGGAGGUAGUGACAAUAAAUAACAAUACGGGGUUCUUUCGGAUUUCGUAAUUGGAAUGAGUACAAUUUAAAUCUCUUAACGAGGAACAAUUGGAGGGCAAGUCUGGUGCCAGCAGCCGCGGUAAUUCCAGCUCCAAUAGCGUAUAUUAAAGUUGCUGCAGUUAAAAAGCUCGUAGUUGAAUUUCGGGACCAUCAUGUCGGUCGUGCCUCGGUACGUACUGGCAUUGUUGGUUUCUCCCUUCUGACGAACCAUGAUGUCAUUUAUUUGGUGUUAUGGGGAAUCAGGACUGUUACUUUGAAAAAAUUAGAGUGUUUAAAGCAGGCUCACGCUUGAAUACAUUAGCAUGGAAUAAUGAAAUAGGACGUUUGAUUCUAUUUUGUUGGUUUCUAGGAUCGACGUAAUGAUUAAUAGGGAUAGUUGGGGGCAUUAGUAUUCAAUUGUCAGAGGUGAAAUUCUUGGAUUUAUUGAAGACUAACUACUGCGAAAGCAUUUGCCAAGGAUGUUUUCAUUAAUCAAGAACGAAAGUUAGGGGAUCGAAGACGAUCAGAUACCGUCGUAGUCUUAACCAUAAACUAUGCCGACUAGGGAUCGGAUGAUGUUAAUUUUUUAAUGACUCAUUCGGCGCCUUACGGGAAACCAAAGUGUUUGGGUUC
This 798-nucleotide ribosomal RNA is filed under the name uncultured Glomus. RNAcentral describes it as "SSU rRNA". It matches the Rfam family "Eukaryotic small subunit ribosomal RNA", at positions 314 to 1114 of the family's 1831-position model. The record is from RNAcentral. Lineage: Eukaryota; Fungi; Glomeromycota; Glomeromycetes; Glomerales; Glomeraceae.